Molecule: long non-coding RNA, 2221 nt
Organism: Bacillus rossius redtenbacheri
Lineage: Eukaryota; Metazoa; Arthropoda; Insecta; Phasmatodea; Bacillidae
Exons: 2
Source: RefSeq, a predicted model, not a curated record
UUGUUUUUGUUUUUCCUUGCGGGAAGGAGGGACAGCCAUUUUCCCCGUGGCUAAGUUUUCCCGGUGUUCGUGAUUUUUUUCGGAGUGGCCUACUUUUGUAGUUAAAACCUCCUUCCAGGGAGGGACUUAGGCCUUUUGCCUGGGGACCUCUCUGGAAGCCGGGUCCACGUCGGUUUGAAACAACUUUUCUCCGUCUCAAGUCAGAGGACGAACUGCGGGCUGGAACUUGCGGAGCUGUGGACUGCUGCGCGCGCAACGGAACAGAAACUCCGAAGGCAGAGACGGCUGUGCCUUCAAGCUGGGGCCCUGUUGGAGCCAGCGGUAGCCCUGGGCGGCGCGACAAGAAACCGUCCCGGGGAUUUUGGAGGACAAGAGGGUCCGACUCGCAAGAUACUUCAUUCGCCUGAACGACUUACCCCCACCCUGGCUUGAAAGGUCAUCAGCUGUCAACCUGAAGAAGGAAGAUGAAGAUGGCGCAACGUCAGGCUGCCUUUCGCUCCGUGCGCCCGCAGUUCGAGCCGGUUUACCGGCUCGUCUGCCCACUUCUGUUUUAACUGUGGCUGCCUGGGCAGCUGGACUGGGCUGACGAGUGAAGUCGCCCACCCCUGGGGGCGCAUGCGCCCCUGGCUAAUAAUAACCCGAGUACCCAACUUUUAAAUGCGGGCCGCAAGGCCCAAGCACCCAACUCCAGCAUGGUUGAUUUAUCAGCCCCUCCAACUCUUCUUACCUGGACCCUUCUUCCCUCUUGUCCAGUAGUUACCUGCUUGCUUAAUGCAUGAUAUUUGAUCCCCGCAUGACCCGGCCCAGGGUUUUCCCUGUGUCUAUGGAGGUUUUACCUGGGUCACAUUAGUUAGAUUUUAAGUUAGACGACCAAUGGGGCGUCAGUCAUGGCACCAAUCGCAGCCAUGACUGGCCAGUAAACCCCAUUAGCACAUGAUGCACGCGCCCUUGUCCUGCAUGGUUAAAAACCCACAUGGUAGAGUUUAUAGGCUUCGGCCUGAGACACACUUAGGCCCUCCCCUAACCUUGACCCUCCCCUUACACACUUAGAAUAAUUUAGGCUAGGAAAAAAAAUUUUUACCCUCCUCGAACCUUUGUACCAUGCCACCCCCCUUCCGAAAGGAAACUACUGCGGCAGGCUUCCUGCUGAAAGCGGUCCUACCAGCGCUUCUAAACCUAGCAACGCUUCUAAAACAGUGUGUCAACGAGUUCUUUUCUUAUAGCGCACAGUAUUGGGUCCCAAGAAGAUAGUGUAAAAAAAAAAUACAUACACCUAACUGCACGAGCCAAAGUAAAAUACUAUUCUGAAUAAAAUAUUUAUUUAAAAAAUACAAUGUGUGGAAACUGCCUGCUUGCCCUGACGAGACGCCACUGUUCCCCUGCCCUCCGCACGCCGGCGCUACUAGCUUGACGAGGCGAUCAGAGCCAUCUCGUGUCGGGCAGACAUACUAGCAGCCAACGUGCAGUGAAACAUUCUCAUGGCUGGGCCGCUUCUGUAAGUACUUAUAUUCACUGGUAGAACUACGAGAGGAACACGGUUGUAAGACACAUUUAUAUCCUUUAUUUGAAUGCAUUCUUCAGUUAUUCUCCCUUCUUUGAGUAAUGUUAUCACCAUUAAAAAUUCACAGAAAGAAAGAAGUUAUUAUUUAUUUUUCGCUCUUUACAGGUGAACCACUAAUAACUAAACUAUUUACAAACUUUGUCAUCUAUAAUAUAUUUUCAUAAGAAAUUCACAGAUUACAAAAUACAAUUUAAAAUUAUAAAUUAAAUAAUUUGUUGUACAAGUAAACAUUAUUUCCUUGUAAAAACAAACAAGUGUAAGUAAAAGUCAAAUAUUUGGUCGAGCACAGCAUUGAUAAUCUGAAUUAAAGUCUUUUAGAUACAGCGUUAAAAAUAUUCACCUUAAUUUUACGUAAAACAUCGGUUGAAAAUUAUCCAAGUAUAUUCGUAAGUUUUCAAAUGUCUUAUUUAAUCUUGUAAGAACUGACUGAAUUUAACAGCUUGAAGAAAAACAUACAAUAAUCUUCUUGGAGUAUUUAAAAGGCCUUAAAGUUUUUAAGUCUUCAGCCGACACAGUAUUCUUCGUUUACAAUAUAACUAAGAAGCGGUAGUCUGUUUUUCUGGAACUACGAAGAUCUCUAUUUGUCAGAGGUGUGUCGGUGGAAAGUUCGUAAUUAUACUGUGAAAUCAAUCUAAAGUAAAAAAAAAAAAAAAAAAAAAA